Molecule: ribosomal RNA, 743 nt
Filed under: Salmonella enterica
Lineage: Bacteria; Pseudomonadati; Pseudomonadota; Gammaproteobacteria; Enterobacterales; Enterobacteriaceae
Also listed under: 1 other name
Description: partial 23S ribosomal RNA
Rfam family: Bacterial large subunit ribosomal RNA
Source: RNAcentral
CGAUAGUGAACCAGUACCGUGAGGGAAAGGCGAAAAGAACCCCGGCGAGGGGAGUGAAAAAGAACCUGAAACCGUGUACGUACAAGCAGUGGGAGCACCCUUUGGGUGUGACUGCGUACCUUUUGUAUAAUGGGUCAGCGACUUAUAUUCUGUAGCAAGGUUAACCGAAUAGGGGAGCCGGAGGGAAACCGAGUCUUAACCGGGCGUUAAGUUGCAGGGUAUAGACCCGAAACCCGGUGAUCUAGCCAUGGGCAGGUUGAAGGUUGGGUAACACUAACUGGAGGACCGAACCGACUAAUGUUGAAAAAUUAGCGGAUGACCUGUGGCUGGGGGUGAAAGGCCAAUCAAACCGGGAGAUAGCUGGUUCUCCCCGAAAGCUAUUUAGGUAGCGCCUCGUGAAUUCAUCUCCGGGGGUAGAGCACUGUUUCGGCUAGGGGGCCAUCCCGGCUUACCAACCCGAUGCAAACUGCGAAUACCGGAGAAUGUUAUCACGGGAGACACACGGCGGGUGCUAACGUCCGUCGUGAAGAGGGAAACAACCCAGACCGCCAGCUAAGGUCCCAAAGUCAUGGUUAAGUGGGAAACGAUGUGGGAAGGCCCAGACAGCCAGGAUGUUGGCUUAGAAGCAGCCAUCAUUUAAAGAAAGCGUAAUAGCUCACUGGUCGAGUCGGCCUGCGCGGAAGAUGUAACGGGGCUAAACCAUGCACCGAAGCUGCGGCAGCGACACUGUGUGUUGUUGGGUA